This 74-nucleotide transfer RNA is filed under the name Dietzia natronolimnaea. RNAcentral's name for it is "tRNA-Ala". It matches the Rfam family "tRNA". Rfam says of the family: Transfer RNA (tRNA) molecules are approximately 80 nucleotides in length. Their secondary structure includes four short double-helical elements and three loops (D, anti-codon, and T loops). RNAcentral also lists the same sequence under 5 other names. Lineage: Bacteria; Bacillati; Actinomycetota; Actinomycetes; Mycobacteriales; Dietziaceae. The record is from RNAcentral.
GGGGCCUUAGCUCAGUUGGUAGAGCGCUGCCUUUGCAAGGCAGAUGUCAGGGGUUCGAAUCCCCUAGGCUCCAC